GAUGAACGCUGGCGGCGUGCCUAAUACAUGCAAGUCGAGCGAACGGACGAGAAGCUUGCUUCUCUGAUGUUAGCGGCGGACGGGUGAGUAACACGUGGAUAACCUGCCUAUAAGACUGGGAUAACUUCGGGAAACCGGAGCUAACACCGGAUGAUAUUUUGAACCGCAUGGUUCAAAAGUGAAAGACGGUCUUGCUGUCACUUAUAGAUGGAUCCGCGCUGCAUUAGCUAGUUGGUAAGGUAACGGCUUACCAAGGCAACGAUGCAUAGCCGACCUGAGAGGGUGAUCGGCCACACUGGAACUGAGACACGGUCCAGACUCCUACGGGAGGCAGCAGUAGGGAAUCUUCCGCAAUGGGCGAAAGCCUGACGGAGCAACGCCGCGUGAGUGAUGAAGGUCUUCGGAUCGUAAAACUCUGUUAUUAGGGAAGAACAUAUGUGUAAGUAACUGUGCACAUCUUGACGGUACCUAAUCAGAAAGCCACGGCUAACUACGUG
Molecule: ribosomal RNA, 497 nt
Filed under: uncultured bacterium
Lineage: Bacteria
Description: partial 16S ribosomal RNA
Rfam family: Bacterial small subunit ribosomal RNA
Source: RNAcentral